This 739-nucleotide long non-coding RNA is filed under the name Anas platyrhynchos platyrhynchos (common mallard). RNAcentral's name for it is "lncRNA (ENSAPLG00000024391.1)". The record is from RNAcentral. Lineage: Eukaryota; Metazoa; Chordata; Aves; Anseriformes; Anatidae.
CAGAUACCACGGACAAUUUUGUGACUCCCCUGGGGAUGGUGCUGGCUGUUGGUGGGGGGAUGUGGCCAAGGGGCUGAGGCUCAUUCUGAGAAAGAGGUGGGUGCACUGUAGAGGCUAAGCCUGUCCUUUUAUCCUGCCAGGCUAUGUGGCGAGUUCCCCAGCAAGUCCAUCAUCCACAGGUGAGUGAUUCCCACCUACACCCCCAGAAACCCGAGCAUUGGGAGUGGGAGUGCUGUGCUUUCUUCCCCAGUGCAUGGGGACAAGCAGGAGCUUCACCAGGCAGGAGCUGUGCCAGCUGCAUGGGCACGUCCUGCACCCUGCCUCUCCCCAUCACACCCCGCUGCCCUCACACCCUCUGUCCCCCAGCUCCAAAUUCCCGGAUCCCACACGCCCUCCCCACAGGCACGGCGCUGGCAGUGGCGGCCGUCGGCCUCGUCCUCCUGGCUGCAGGCAGCUGGUUUGUCAUCAGGAAAGGUGCCUGCAGAGGGAGAUGCCCAAGUGGUGCUGCAGACCUUCAGGACAUUUUUUCUCUCCUCUCUCUAGGCCUCUGUGUGGUGCUGGCAGUGCUCAGGACUCUUCUGCUGACCCCAGCCAUUUCUGUAAGUGCCAGUCCCUUCUUCACCCUUCUCCUCUAGGCACUGUGUGAAGUGCUGAUGCCUUUGCCAUGGCAAGCCGUAGUCAUGGGAGCUACUGUGGUGAGGGGUGGGAAACACCUGCCUGCUGUGUGUGGCUGGACACU